Molecule: ribosomal RNA, 252 nt
Filed under: uncultured bacterium
Lineage: Bacteria
Description: partial 16S ribosomal RNA
Rfam family: Bacterial small subunit ribosomal RNA
Source: RNAcentral
UACGAAGGGGGCUAGCGUUGUUCGGAAUUACUGGGCGUAAAGCGCACGUAGGCUGAUAGUUAAGUGAGGGGUGAAAUCCCAAGGCUCAACCUUGGAACUGCCUUUCAUACAGGCUAUCUCGAGUCCGGUAGCGGUUAGUGGAAUUCCCAGUGUAGAGGUGAAAUUCGUGGGUAUUGGGAAGAACACAGUGGCGAAGGCGGCUAACUGGUCCGGUACUGACGCUGAGGUGCGAAAGCGUGGGGAGCAAACAGG